This 656-nucleotide long non-coding RNA is filed under the name Mus spicilegus (steppe mouse). RNAcentral describes it as "lncRNA (ENSMSIG00000007617.1)". Lineage: Eukaryota; Metazoa; Chordata; Mammalia; Rodentia; Muridae. The record is from RNAcentral.
CAGUAUUGUAAUUGUUUUGGGAUCUCCAAUGGGUUAUAAAGAUGUAAGCUUCUGGAAGACAAAGAUGUUUCUAUACACAGCUCAGAACACUCUGACAGUAUGAACUGAAAGCUCCUAGGCCGAAAAUGGAAACUCAAGCCUGAAGGAUGAAAUGUGACCCAUAUUUUUCUCACUGCUCAGCAAAAUGUUAUUUUUGUUCCUUUCUCAGGAAAGCCCUCUAUGAUUAGCGCAUUACCGGCUGUUUGUGGAUUUGCCUGCAGCAUCGUGACUUGCAUUUUCUUCAAGGAUUCUCUGUCAAGGUUACUGUCAGCAGUUCAUCACCUCUAACUGAAGACAUACAAGCAAUAUAUGGCUGCCAUGAGGAUAAUAAUCAUUAUUCUCCAGGAACAAGUCCCGAUGAAUUAUCUGGACCUAAGUGGUCAGUCCUAAGCACAUAUAUAUGUGAGCAACACUACGUGGGCUCAGCAGGUUGUAUUUAUUUAUGCAUUUUCAUGUUUUUAAAUAAUGAAAAAAGAGGCCAUGGGAGAACUUGUGGCACUAGAGGUGUUUGAAUGGUGAAAAUAGGACAUAGAAAUAAUGUAAACUUAGCACUAUUGUCUAAAAUUCUCACAAAGUAGUAACGAAAUAAAUGUUUCAAAGAUAGACCUUUGUAUUCA